Molecule: long non-coding RNA, 394 nt
Organism: Coccinella septempunctata (seven-spotted ladybird)
Lineage: Eukaryota; Metazoa; Arthropoda; Insecta; Coleoptera; Coccinellidae
Exons: 2
Source: RefSeq, a predicted model, not a curated record
CCAGAGUCGCGCAAGUAGCCACAAGAGGAUAUGACAUUUGUUUGUUUAUGGAAUUGGCAGCAUCGCCAGAAGGAUUCUGGUCAGCGGAAGGCAUCGAACACCGUCUUGGCGGCAAAGGAGGUGGAGGUUCAUUGGGAGUGUAACAUUGUCCAUUCUCAGAGCGUUGAAGCAUUUCGUGUGAUAUAUCCCAAGUUACACGAGUAUUGUUGGACUCCAAUGCAUCUAUGGUAGCAGGCGUAUGCACAUACACUUUUGACUUGACGUAGCCCCAAAAUAAUCAGUCCAGGGAUGUGGUGUCCCACGAUUAGGUGGCCAAUUCACUAGCCCGAACAGUGAUACCUAUGUAUUGUUGGCCGGAACUUUCUUUUAAUGAAACCAUAGUUCCCGAGCAGUA